GCUUUCCGGCGUUGGAGUUGCAGCUUCACCCUCGCAGAUUCGGCUUAGCGAGCGAGUCGGUGCUUCCGCGGAUCAAAAUUAUUAGCCGUUUUAUUAGAGCCCAUUAAACGUUGCAUAAACAUGGUUCAGAGCUGCCUGGGAGAAGAAAAGCCAAAGGAUGCCACCCUCUCGAUUUAUCCCACCCUCGGGAGUCUGAAAGCCGACGCCAGGAGAAAUCCCGCGAAGGCCGCCCGGGAUCCUGGUAGAGGCGACGCUGUGUGCGUUUAUGGAGCGCUUGCGAUGGACAGAAGUGAGGACAUUCAUCGGCCGCAUUUUACUAAUGGCAAGGAGAUAGCGACUGAAGGGCAAGAACCUAGGGUUUCCUGUCUUUGAUAUUUCUCAUCUUUGAGCAAAAGGAGAGAGGCCAUUAUGGGGAAAAAGAUCCAAAAGGACUCAUCUAAAACACAAGUUGGGUAGAGGAGAUAGGUGAGUACUAUUAUAUUAUGUUCAUGGAAAAUGAGUUCAUGGGCUUUCCUCUAAUUUUUAUUUUAAAAAUAAAUGUAAAUAUUAAAUAAAAUUUUUUAAAUGAA
This is a long non-coding RNA of Homo sapiens (human), 569 nucleotides long. Ensembl annotates it as RNF139 divergent transcript. Its record names the gene RNF139-DT. NCBI's taxonomy places the organism in Eukaryota, Metazoa, Chordata, Mammalia, Primates, Hominidae. The record is from Ensembl.